This 71-nucleotide transfer RNA is filed under the name chicken gut metagenome. It matches the Rfam family "tRNA". Rfam says of the family: Transfer RNA (tRNA) molecules are approximately 80 nucleotides in length. Their secondary structure includes four short double-helical elements and three loops (D, anti-codon, and T loops). The record is from RNAcentral.
GGAUAUAGCCAAGUCGGUAAAGGCACAGGACUUUGACUCCUGCAUUUCGUUGGUUCGAGUCCAACUAUCCC